RNAcentral lists this ribosomal RNA (497 nucleotides) under uncultured bacterium. Its description in RNAcentral is "partial 16S ribosomal RNA". It matches the Rfam family "Bacterial small subunit ribosomal RNA", at positions 28 to 507 of the family's 1533-position model. The record is from RNAcentral.
GAUGAACGCUGGCGGCGUGCCUAAUACAUGCAAGUCGAGCGAACAGAUGAGGAGCUUGCUCCUCCGACGUUAGCGGCGGACGGGUGAGUAACACGUGGAUAACCUACCUAUAAGACUGGGAUAACUUCGGGAAACCGGAGCUAAUACCGGAUAAUAUAUUGAACCGCAUGGUUCAAUAGUGAAAGACGGUUUUGCUGUCACUUAUAGAUGGAUCCGCGCCGCAUUAGCUAGUUGGUAAGGUAACGGCUUACCAAGGCAACGAUGCGUAGCCGACCUGAGAGGGUGAUCGGCCACACUGGAACUGAGACACGGUCCAGACUCCUACGGGAGGCAGCAGUAGGGAAUCUUCCGCAAUGGGCGAAAGCUUGACGGAGCAACGCCGCGUGAGUGAUGAAGGUCUUCGGAUCGUAAAACUCUGUUAUUAGGGAAGAACAAAUGUGUAAGUAACUAUGCACGUCUUGACGGUACCUAAUCAGAAAGCCACGGCUAACUACGUG